This 496-nucleotide ribosomal RNA is filed under the name uncultured bacterium. Its description in RNAcentral is "bacterial SSU rRNA". It matches the Rfam family "Bacterial small subunit ribosomal RNA", at positions 16 to 507 of the family's 1533-position model. The record is from RNAcentral.
AUCCUGGCUCAGAUUGAACGCUGGCGGAAUGCUUUACACAUGCAAGUCGAACGGCAGCACGGACUUCGGUCUGGUGGCGAGUGGCGAACGGGUGAGUAAUAUAUCGGAACGUGCCCAGUCGUGGGGGAUAACGUAGUGAAAAUUACGCUAAUACCGCAUACGAUCUAAGGAUGAAAGCGGGGGAUCGCAAGACCUCGCGCGAUUGGAGCGGCCGAUAUCAGAUUAGGUAGUUGGUGAGGUAAAGGCUCACCAAGCCGACGAUCUGUAGCUGGUCUGAGAGGACGACUAGCCACACUGGAACUGAGACACGGUCCAGACUCCUACGGGAGGCAGCAGUGGGGAAUUUUGGACAAUGGACGCAAGUCUGAUCCAGCCAUUCCGCGUGCAGGACGAAGGCCUUCGGGUUGUAAACUGCUUUUGUACAGAACGAAAAGGUCUCUAUUAAUACCUGGGGCUCAUGACGGUACCGUAAGAAUAAGCACCGGCUAACUACGUG